RNAcentral lists this unclassified non-coding RNA (378 nucleotides) under uncultured bacterium. Its description in RNAcentral is "contains 16S-23S intergenic spacer region". The record is from RNAcentral.
UCCGGUUUGUCACCGGCAGUCUCCCAUGAGUCCCCAACUGAAUGCUGGCAACAUAGGACGGGGGUUGCGCUCGUUGCGGGACUUAACCCAACAUCUCACGACACGAGCUGACGACAGCCAUGCACCACCUGUGAAGGUGUCCCGAAGGAAAACCGUGUUUCCACGGCGGUCACCCUGCAUGUCAAACCCAGGUAAGGUUCUUCGCGUUGCAUCGAAUUAAGCCGCAUGUUCCACCGCUUGUGCGGACCCCCGUCAAUUCUUUUAAGUUUUAGCCUUGCGACCAUACUCCCCAGGCGAACCACUUAACGCGUUAGCUACGACACUGAUCCAGCUAAGCCGAACCAACAUCUAGUGGUUAUCGUUUACGGCGUGGACUAC